Molecule: ribosomal RNA, 240 nt
Filed under: uncultured bacterium
Lineage: Bacteria
Description: partial 16S ribosomal RNA
Rfam family: Bacterial small subunit ribosomal RNA
Source: RNAcentral
AGCGGCGGACGGGUGAGUAACGCGUGGGUAACCUGCCUCAUACAGGGGGAUAACAGUUGGAAACGGCUGCUAAUACCGCAUAAGCGCACAGUACCGCAUGGUACGGUGUGAGAAACUCCGGUGGUAUGAGAUGGACCCGCGUCUGAUUAGGUGGUUGGUGGGGUAACGGCCUACCAAGCCGACGAUCAGUAGCCGACCUGAGAGGGUGACCGGCCACAUUGGGACUGAGACACGGCCCAA